GAUGAAGAACGCAGUGAAAUGCGAUAAGUAAUGUGAAUUGCAGAAUUCAGUGAAUCAUCGAAUCUUUGAACGCACAUUGCGCCCGCCAGUAUUCUGGCGGGCAUGCCUGUUCGAGCGUCAUUUCAACCAUCAAGCCCCAGGCUUGUGUUGGGGACCUGCGGCUGCCGCAGGCCCUGAAAACCAGUGGCGGGCUUGCUGUCACACCGGGCGUAGUAGAUUUUAUCUCGCUCAGGGCGUGCUGCGGGUUCCGGCCGUUAAAAAGCCUUUUUUACCCAAGGUUGACCUCGGAUCAGGUAGGAAUACCCGCUGAACUUAAGCAUAUCAAUAAGCGGAGGA
RNAcentral lists this unclassified non-coding RNA (336 nucleotides) under soil metagenome. Its description in RNAcentral is "partial contains 5.8S ribosomal RNA, internal transcribed spacer 2, and large subunit ribosomal RNA". The stretch from base 1 to 120 matches the Rfam family "5.8S ribosomal RNA", at positions 35 to 154 of the family's 154-position model. The record is from RNAcentral.